Molecule: ribosomal RNA, 479 nt
Filed under: uncultured bacterium
Lineage: Bacteria
Description: SSU rRNA
Rfam family: Bacterial small subunit ribosomal RNA
Source: RNAcentral
AGGACGAACGCUGGCGGCGUGCUAAACACAUGCAAGUCGAACGAGGUCCAUCCAGUCGCAAGACUGGUGAAGGCCGAGUGGCGAACGGGUGCGUAACACGUGAGAAACCUGUCCCGGUCUCUGGAAUAACAGUCGGAAACGACUGCUAAUACCGGAUGCCGUCGGAGCGUCGCAUGGCGCGCUGACGAAAGGGCUACCGGAUCGGGAGGGUCUCGCGGCCUAUCAGCUUGUUGGUGAGGUAACGGCUCACCAAGGCAUCGACGGGUAGCUGGUCUGAGAGGACGAUCAGCCACACUGGGACUGAGACACGGCCCAGACUCCUACGGGAGGCAGCAGUGGGGAAUCUUGCGCAAUGCGCGAAAGCGUGACGCAGCAACGCCGCGUGGGGAAGAAUGCCUUCGGGUUGUAAACCCCUUUUAGGAGGGACGAAAUGACGGUACCUCCAGAAAACGCCCGGCCAACUACGUGCCAGCAGCCGC